GACGAACGCUGGCGGCGUGCUUAACACAUGCAAGUCGAACGGAAAGGCCCUGCUUUUGUGGGGUGCUCGAGUGGCGAACGGGUGAGUAACACGUGAGUAACCUGCCCUUGACUUUGGGAUAACUUCAGGAAACUGGGGCUAAUACCGGAUAGGAGCUCCUGCUGCAUGGUGGGGGUUGGAAAGUUUCGGCGGUUGGGGAUGGACUCGCGGCUUAUCAGCUUGUUGGUGGGGUAGUGGCUUACCAAGGCUUUGACGGGUAGCCGGCCUGAGAGGGUGACCGGCCACAUUGGGACUGAGAUACGGCCCAGACUCCUACGGGAGGCAGCAGUGGGGAAUAUUGCACAAUGGGCGGAAGCCUGAUGCAGCAACGCCGCGCGCGGGAUGACGGCCUUCGGGUUGUAAACCGCUUUCGCCUGUGACGAAGCGUGAGUGACGGUAAUGGGUAAAGAAGCACCGGCUAACUAUGUG
Molecule: ribosomal RNA, 468 nt
Filed under: uncultured bacterium
Lineage: Bacteria
Description: partial 16S ribosomal RNA
Rfam family: Bacterial small subunit ribosomal RNA
Source: RNAcentral